CGCGUAGGUGGUUAGGUAAGCGAGAUGUGAAAGCCCCGGGCUUAACCUGGGAACGGCAUUUCGAACUGUCUGACUAGAGUAUGGUAGAGGGUAGUGGAAUUUCCUGUGUAGCGGUGAAAUGCGUAGAUAUAGGAAGGAACACCAGUGGCGAAGGCGGCUACCUGGACCAAUACUGACACUGAGGUGCGAAAGCGUGGGGAGCAAACA
This 207-nucleotide ribosomal RNA is filed under the name uncultured bacterium. RNAcentral's name for it is "partial 16S ribosomal RNA". It matches the Rfam family "Bacterial small subunit ribosomal RNA", at positions 568 to 774 of the family's 1533-position model. The record is from RNAcentral.